UGACAUUGUUUGUUACAUUUC
This 21-nucleotide non-coding RNA is filed under the name Caenorhabditis elegans. Lineage: Eukaryota; Metazoa; Nematoda; Chromadorea; Rhabditida; Rhabditidae. The record is from RNAcentral.